GAGAGGGGAAGGAAGCGGGCUUCGAGGCCGGAAGUGGAGUGACGUCACCCGGAAGUGGCCUCUGGCCCAGGCUGUGGUGUUGAUGUUUUCAAGCCUUUAUUGCCUCUGCUGGUAGAGGGGGGACGGCGGAAGAAUGGUGUGCGAAAAAUGUGAAAAGAAACUUGGUACUGUUAUCACUCCAGAUACAUGGAAGGAUGGAGCUAGAAAUACCACAGAAAGUGGUGGAAGAAAACUGAAUGAAAAUAAAGCCUUGACUUCGAAAAAAGCAAGAUUUGAUCCUUAUGGAAAGAAUAAGUUCUCCACUUGCAGAAUCUGUAAAAGUUCUGUACACCAACCAGGUUCUCAUUAUUGCCAGGGCUGUGCCUACAAAAAGGAAGUUGGAACGAUGCAAGACAGAUGAUGAGGAACUCACACUCAAAUAAAAUGCCUGGGAUUUUCAUGGGAAGACCAGCAGAGAAACUCAUGCCUACCCUUCUUCAAUCUUCUCCAUCCUGCCGCGUGCUCUGAGGCUGACAUAUCUGGACUGCACCAGGAGCUCCCUUGAUCCCUGGUCUCCAUGUGGGUUUGAGCACAGGGAAGCCCUGGCAGAGAGCAGAGGCCAAGGAGAAUGAGGUCAGGGUGUGUGCUCCCCUGCGCCCUCUCUGCCAUGAAUUGGAUGCAUCUGUCCACCAAGGUCACUCCUGGCUCCUGGCAGGCAGCCUCUGAUACAGCCUGGAGCCCUCCCAGCUCUCCCUGCUUCCCGACUGCUCUGCUAGCCUGAGUGUGCUACACCAUUCCUUGCUGACUGUCAGAACCUAGUGCUUCUCAAUCUCCUUUUCAUUGUCACUUGCCCAAGAAGUAGCCUUUUCAGACCUGUUAUUCCAAAUCCUCUCCCUGCUUUGAAAUUUUAAAACUAUACAGCUACUAGUUAUCUACCGUAUAUAUCUCUGUGCUGUAUAUAUGAAUACUAUUUUUGCCGUCCCCCCCUCCCCCCAAGAACCAAUUUUCACCCUUUGGGGAUGAUAUUACCCUCAUUAAGAAUGCAUUCCCUAAACCAACUCACAUUUCUGUAAAGAGUUCCUUUAAUGAAUUCUCCUACAUCACCUUAUUUGAG
Molecule: RNA transcript, 1093 nt
Organism: Nycticebus coucang (slow loris)
Lineage: Eukaryota; Metazoa; Chordata; Mammalia; Primates; Lorisidae
Gene: CRIPT
Gene name: CXXC repeat containing interactor of PDZ3 domain
Exons: 6
Source: RefSeq, a predicted model, not a curated record